Molecule: long non-coding RNA, 11714 nt
Filed under: Vitis vinifera (wine grape)
Lineage: Eukaryota; Viridiplantae; Streptophyta; Magnoliopsida; Vitales; Vitaceae
Description: long non-coding RNA (VVIN_LNC003016)
Source: RNAcentral
UUUAUUUGUUGAAAAUAUUGAAUGGAUGACUGGCCUUGUUUCCUUGAAGUAUCUUGGUAUGAAUUAUGUUAACCUUUCAUUGGUAGGAAGUCGGUGGGUUGAGGUGGCAAACAAGCUUCCAAGUUUAACUGAGUUGCAUCUAGGUGGUUGUAGCCUCUUUGGCUCAUUUCCAUCUCCAAGCUUUGCUAAUUUUACUUCACUUGUUGUUAUAGAUAUCAACAACAACCAAUUUGAUUCCAAGUUUCCUGAAUGGCUUUUAAAUGUUAGCAACCUUGUAUCCAUUGAUAUAAGUCAGAAUCUAUUACAUGGGAAAAUUCCACUUGGUCUUGGUGGGCUACCCAAUUUUCAUUACUUAGAUCUAUCUGGGAAUUUGAAUCUCAGGGGCAAUAUCUCUCAACUGUUGAGGAAGAGUUGGAAAAAGAUAGAAGUUCUAAAUUUGGCUCAUAAUGAAUUUUAUGGUAAGCUUCUUUGUGUUAUUAGAAAAAUUGACAUUUCUUUGUUGAUAUGUUAAUGUAUAGUUAAGUAUAGUUCACAAUUGUGUAUAUAAGUGUUGAAUAUGUAUCAAUAUACAAAUAUCAAAUAAUCACUAUAUUUGAUUCACUUGUUAGAAAAAAAAUUCUUCUUAGUUAAAAAAUAUAUUAUUUUGAAUUUUAAAUUUCUUAGAAGGAAAUUUAGUUUCUUUUUUUUAUCUACGAAAAAGUAUCUAGUUUAACAAUUUAUGCUUAUGAAGUAUCAAUGUUAUUUAACAAUUUUUUUGUGUAAAGGUAAGUGAUUAUAUGAAGUGUUUGUCUACAUAACUAUUAAAAAAAAAUUGUAUCUUAUAGGAAUAUGAUUUUUUUUUUUUAAUCCUUAACUUCCGUUUUUACUUUAAAUUAGUUGAUGAAUGAUUUAUUAUUUAUUAUUGUCAAUAAUUAUACAUUUGUUAUAUUAAUUAUUUUUUUAAUGUUUUCGUUUCAUUUUGAUAUAACUCUCAUUUUUUCUUUAGUUUUGCUCCUGAGGAUAUAAUAAUUUGAGCAUGUACUAAAUGGAAUAUUUAUAAGAUGGUUGAAUUGAUAUAUGAUGUGCUUUGUCACUUAUGUUUUAAUAUUUUACUAAAUUUUGUUAUUAAAUGUUUUCCAUUUUUUACUCUCAUGGUAUACCUUCUUUUAAACUAUUCUAUUACAAUUUUAUUCUAAAUUGUUAUGUUUAUUUAAAGUACUUCAUGUUCCUAUAAAAUUUAAAUAAUUAUAAUUUACUAUUCACUUAUAUUUGAAAAGCUUGUAACUAAUAAAUUAAAAAAAUCACAUUGUAUUAAAAUUUAAAAAUUUGUUUUCUUUGUAUCUCUAAAAAGAAUUAAAUUCCUAUUUUGACAAUUUAUGUUUGUUAAGAGUCUUUAUCAUCAAACACCCUUCAAUCAUCUCCUACAUAUUUUCAAUUUCUAUUUUCUCUCACUAAUUCAUCUAUUAUAUCAAAAUAUUAUACUAGGUUGAACUCCUACUUUUCUCUAGCUUUGUUCUUUAAUGGUACGUUCUACUUUCAAAAUAUUAUAUCUUUGUAGAUAGGAAUAAUUUUCUAUUCAAAUUUUCUAGGAGUUUGUAAAUAAAUAGAAUAACCACUUGGAACUAAAAUAAUUGUUUAGAAAAACUUUUUUUUUUUUGCAUUGCUAAAAUACAAAUUAUAUUUUUGGUAACUUGGAUUUAUUAAAAAAAAAAAUGUAAUUACUUUCUCAAUCUUUUGGUUUAUAUUUUCAUUUUCUAUAUUUUCUCAUUGAACUAUCACUUUGUUCAAAUUAUUUAAGUUUAUUGUUAAAGAAACAAUUAAUGUCAAUGAUUAAUCAUACUAGUCUUAUAACAGUGAAAUCAAUUACUUUAUUUCAUGGUUAUCAUAAAAGAAAAAAAAAGUACCUAAAAAAAAAUCCAAUAUUUUUUAUUACUUUUUCUUUAAAGUAAUUGUUCAUGAAUUAAUUUGUUUUGUUAUUUACUAUUUUUAUUAUUUGUUUGUUACAUAAUUUUAAUUAGUAUAUAUUUUUAUUCUUGGUCAUUGCAGGUUCAAUUCCAAGCUCCAUUGGAAACUUUUGCAACUUAAAAUAUCUGGAUUUGAGUUUUAAUCUCUUGAAUGGAAGUUUACCUAAGAUUAUCAAAGGACUUGAAACCUGCAGUUCUAAAAGUCCUUUGCCUAAUUUGACGGAAUUAUCCUUGUAUGACAAUCAAUUGAUGGGAAAAUUGCCGAAUUGGUUGGGUGAGCUUAAAAAUCUCAAGGCACUCGAUUUAUCCAAUAACAAAUUUGAAGGUCUCAUCCCUGCUUCUUUAGGGACAUUGCAACAUUUGGAGUUUCUGUCUCUUCUGGAGAAUGAGUUGAAUGGAAGUCUCCCAGAUAAUAUUGGACGACUUUCUCAACUGCAAUACUUGGAUGUUUCUUUCAAUCAUUUGAGUGGAAGUCUCCUGGAUAGUAUUGGACAACUUUCUCAACUGCAAGACUUGGAUGUUUCUUCCAAUCAUUUGAGUGGAAGUCUCCCGGAUAGUAUUGGACAACUUUCUCAACUGCAAGACUUGGAUGUUUCUUCCAAUCAUUUGAGUGGAAGUCUCCCAGAUAGUAUUGGACAACUUUCUCAACUGCAAGACUUGAAUGUUUCUUCCAAUCAUUUGAGUGGAAGUCUCCCAAAUAGUAUUGGACAACUUUCUCAACUGCAAGACUUGGAUGUUUCUUCCAAUCAUUUGAGUGGAAGUCUCUCUGAACAACAUUUUUUGAAGCUGAGUAAGUUGGAGUAUUUACAGAUGGGUUCCAAUUCUUUCCAUUUGAAUGUUAGUCCCAAUUGGGUUCCCCCUUUCCAGGUGAAUGAACUUGAUAUGGGUUCAUGCCACUUGGGUCCUUCAUUUCCGACUUGGCUUCAAUCUCAAAAGAACCUCGAGUAUCUUGAUUUCUCAAAUGACAGCAUUUCAAGUCCCAUUCCAAACUGGUUUUGGAAUAUUUCUUUUAAUCUGCAACAGUUGAAUCUUUCUCACAAUCAAUUACAAGGUCAACUACCAAAUUCAUUAAAUUUUUCUAUUGGCGGUGGUGCUUACAUCGAUUUCAGUUCCAACCUCUUUGAAGGACCUAUUCCUUUUUCAAUCAAAGGGGUCCCUUUUCUAGAUCUCUCCCAUAAUAAAUUUUCUGGCUUUUUUUCACCGAGCAGAGGUGAAUCCAUGUUAGGCUUGCAUGCCCUUCUGCUUUCAGAUAAUCAAAUAACAGGAUUCAUCCCUCUAAACAUAGGAAAAUCCAUACCAAACUUGUCUUAUCUUUCUCUUUCAAGUAAUCAAAUAACAGGGGUCAUCCCAUCAAACAUAGGCGAAUCCUUACCCAACUUGGUUUUCCUUUCUCUCUCGGGUAAUCGAAUAACAGGGACCAUCCCAGAUUCCAUAAGACGCAUCACCAAUCUUGAAGUCAUUGAUUUUUCAAGGAAUAAUUUGACUGGAAGCAUUCCUUCUACCAUAAAUAAUUGCUCUGGGCUUUUUGUUCUAGACCUUGGAAACAACAAUUUGUUUGGGAUGCUACCAAAGUCGUUGGGUCAGUUACAAUUGCUUCAAUCACUGCACUUGAACCACAACAAGCUUUCAGGAGAGUUCCCCUCAUCUUGGCAAAAUUUAACAGGUUUGGAUGUCCUUGAUCUCAGUUACAACAGAUUAUCGGGUCAGGUUCCUACUUGGAUUGGAGUUGCUUUCGUAAAUCUUGUAAUUCUCAACUUGAGGUCGAAUAUGUUUUCUGGAAGACUUCCUUCUCGACUUUCAAAUUUAAGCUCCCUGCAUGUCUUAGACCUUGCACAAAACAAUCUGAUGGGUGAAAUUCCAAUCACUUUGGUUGAGCUUAAAGCCAUGGCUCAAGAGCAAAUGAAUAUAUAUCAGUUAAGUGUGAAUGCCAACUCCUCGUAUACCAGCUCCUUGUAUGAAGAACGAUUGGUUGUGAUUGCCAAAGCCCAAAGUCUUGAAUAUACCAGGACUCUUUNNNNNNNNNNNNNNNNNNNNNNNNNNNNNNNNNNNNNNNNNNNNNNNNNNNNNNNNNNNNNNNNNNNNNNNNNNNNNNNNNNNNNNNNNNNNNNNNNNNNGGUAGUUUAACUAAUAGAUGACACAUUUUUCAUGCAGCAAAUGGAGCCGACUCAAUUGAAGCAUGAGGCUAAGCUGAAGGGUGGAUUUUACGUUGAUCCAGAGGUUAAACUUCUAUUUAUUAUUCGUAUCCGUGGGUAUGCACUUGGACUAUAGUUAUUUCCAUUGAUACCUUUACUUUCAUAUUAAUAUUCUGGUUCUCAUUCCUGUCCACUCUGGAACUUUCAGUAUCAAUGCUAUGCACCCGAAGACGAGAAAGAUUUUGCAGCUCUUGUGUUUGAGACAGGUUAGAUGUCAAACCAUUGCAUCUGGAAAUGAGAAAUAUAUGGCUGUUAUAAAUCUAAUACCAUGCUUUGUGCUUGACAGCGUUAAGUUUCUUCUCAUAUCUUAUAUAGAUAUUCCUCUUCAAAGGAUAUAGUGGGGUAGGGAAUUGGGGUUGAACACCAGGGUGCCCUUUUUAGGAGUAGUAUUGCUAGUUCUUGCAUUGUUAAUCAGAAUUGUUUUCUUACUGUAUCAGAUCAUAUAUAUAUAUGUAUGUAUGUAUGUAUAUUUGUUUCACCUCAGAAUCUGAUGCAUAUACCUUAGCACUGCUGCUGUGAUCAAAACUUUGGGCAGAUAGAAAUUGGUAUUAUCCGUAUUUUUUCUACGCUUUUGAUAGUAGACUCUGACAGUAGUGGCAGUAUUUACCAGCUAGCUAUGCCCAGGUACAAUGCGUGAUACUGUACCAUAUUGCUUCUGAGAUAGGUUAUGGAACUGUGGCCCAUUAGCAUUCAUAUCAUGUCCAUAAAACACGCUUGACACUCAAAUGGCAAAGACAAACUACAAUUUUCAUUAACCAAAAUAAAUUGUCUAGUGAGCAAAUAAUCUAGAUUGAAACGUUGAAAAUCAAUGCCUAACUAUAGUACUCAAGAAGCUGAAUUAAAUGUAUCGAGGAUCAAAUAUCCCAAACUUGUAUUCUUGAUGCUAUUUUGAUGGUGGAUGAUUAGUUCAUCUAACAAACUGCUUCCUUUGUGAUUGAACAUUGUUAGUUUUAUGUCAAAUGGAUUAGUUAUGCAUCAUCAAGGAGGAUAUAAUGUCUCUUAUCAUGAGCUUACUAAUCUAAGCAAGCUAUCCCAUUAGAAAAAUGGAGUGUUCUUUGAUGACAUAAGAUCUUCUCAUUCACUUCUUUGAAUACAGAUAUUCAAUGGGGUGUUUCUUAAAGUGAACAAAGCAACAAUGAACAUGUUGCACAGGGUUGAGCCUUAUGUGACUUAUGGGUAAGUAUCUCACUCUUUUGUUUUUCUUAAAAUCCUAUAAAAAGUCUAAACUUGUAUAUUAUUCAUUUCUAAUGUAUUUAUAUUGCAAAUAUUUUAGGUACCCCAAUUUGAAGAGUGUGCGAGAAUUGAUUUACAAGAGGGGGUAUGGAAAGUUGAACAAGCAGAGAACUGCCUUGACCGACAACUCCAUUGUGGAACAGGUUUUUAUGUCAUUCUGUAUCUUGGUUUUCUAUGAGCGAUUGUUUGCUUUAUCUUGUUGCUAACCUGCUUUUGUGAUGAUAGGCUUUGGGGAAGUUUGGUAUUAUUUGCAUGGAAGAUCUUAUUCAUGAGAUCAUGACUGUUGGACCUCAUUUUAAGGAGGCCAACAACUUCCUAUGGCCAUUUAAACUGAAGGCACCAUUGGGUGGUUUGGAGAAGAAGAGGAAUCACUACGUUGAAGGAGGAGAUGCUGGAAACUGUGAAAAUUACAUCAAUGAGCUCAUUAGAAGAAUGAACUAGACAGCUUGCGGUACUUUUGGCCUUUUCUUAUUGGAAGUUUGAUAUCUUUUGCUUCUUAUUAGCAAUGAUAAAGUUGGAGAAUUCUUUUUCGGGUCAUAAAUAUGAACAAAGUGUUGAGAAAUUUAAUUUGAUAUUUGUUUUUAGACUUUGAUAGUAGAUAACUUUAUUACCUCUUGGAAUUUUAUCAGCAUCCAUGGAAUUGAUCAACGAGUGAUUUUCUAUUAUAGUUGCUUACAUUCAAAUUUUUGUGUUGCAAGGUCAAAUUUAUAUAUGCUAGUUAAAUUUAUGUAUGCCACUUAACAACAUUUUCCAUAUGACCCUCUUAGAAUGAAAUCUACCUUUAACAAUCAAAUGUAUAUCUAUAUAUAUAUAUAUAUGUAUUUGCAUGUUUGUGUGUAGGAUAAAUUAUAAAUUUACCUUACAAUAUAUGGUGCUUCAAUUGAGUUUGUAAACCUUUUUUUUCUAGUAAGGUUAUUCAUUGUAUGUGUCAAAUCAACCUCUUUAUUAUGGUUUUUGGAGCAAAUUUGUUGGAAAACCUCUAUGUGAACACUUGAAUUCAUCUUCAUAUGAUAUGUUUGGAUGUCUAAAAACACAAUGUUUAGUAUUAGAUUGACACGAUUAAAGGUUUGUUUCAAUUUAGAUGGUUUUUGUUUUUUCUACGUAACUUUAAGUAGAACUCAAUUUCACUCUUAAUACAAUAUAAUAGUAUUAAGUUGAUUUUUUUUAUUAUUUUAUUUUUGUAAAGUGGUAAGUAUUAAUAGGGUGAGGCCAUGCUGAGAUCCUAUUUGGUUUGUUUUAAUAGUUAUUUUUAGUAUGUAUUAAAAAGCCAAAUAUUUUAACUUUUUUAUUUAUUUAGUCAAAAAAUUUUUAAAAAUGCAUAAUAAGUGAAAAAAAAGUUAAAAGAAAAUCAUAUAAAGUCUCGACAUUAUGUUAAAAAACAAACAAUACAAUAGUCUUUAAAUUUUUUUUCUGAUGUUAUGUUUAAAUCAUGUUCAAGUUUCAAAUGCAUGUUGUAUGUAAAGAUUUUUGGUCUAAACUUGUUUGACUAUCACACAUAUAUAAAAAUUUUAAUUUUUUAAAAUAAAAAUAUAUUAACUAUUUUCUAGUUUUAGAAAGAGAAAAAAGAAAAUGUAUUAAUUGUCUAUUUUUAAAAAUAGAAAGCAUAAAAUAUAUUUCCAAUACUAAUCACGAAAAAAUAAAAUAAAAUAAAAUCUAAUAGUAAAGAAAAAUGAGUAAUCUUAGAAUGAGUAUGGACGAGACAGACAAGAAAAGCUCGCCAUGGAGACAUUCUUAUUACAUAUUCCUAACCCAAAAAGGGAACAUAUGGAACCUCCUUUUUCUUCCAAUGCACCAACAACACAAAGAAACACAAAGAAUCCCCAUCAUUGAAUACGAGCCAUGGCAAACAUGAACAUUAAAUGGUGGUUUGACAAUAUUUUCAAAAAUAGGUUAUAAAAAAUAAAUUUUGAAAACGAUUUUUAUAAUUAUCUUUAGAAAUUAAAUUUUGUUGAGAAUUCAAAUAUGAAAUGAUUUUUCUCUAACUUAAUACUUGUUUCUACCACCGUCCGGGAUAUAUGUGUGUAUCUCUUUAAAAAUGAAAAAAAGAACAACUUUAGUGCCUAAAUUGGCUAAGUAAUGAUAUUGUAUAGGACAAAGAGAAGAUGACAGUUAUCGGGUGAACAGUUUUUUUGCCUCAAAUCUUUAAAGAUUUUAGAUGUUUUAUUAUUUUUAUUUUUUUUUAAAUUUAGCCUUAAUUCUUUAAAUUGAGUCUUAUUUUCAAGUAUGUAUAUGAAUAUACCAAUUAAAAAAUUUAAUUUUUAUUUGGAAUAUGAGCUUAGAAAUUGAAUGAUGUUUUUUCAUCAAUAUCGAUUGAGAUUUUAAACGAGUGUUAGACAUGUUUAGACCAUAGAUGAAAAAGAAAAGAAUAAUAGUAGAUUAGGUGCAAAAUUGUCUUGAUAUAAUGAUUAACCAAAGGAUGCUAUAUCUUCUUCUAUAUGGAAUUAAUUUUCCUUUAUUAUUAAUAUAUUUCACUAUUUUUAUUUUAAUUCUAUUUAAACAAAAAUAGUCGUGUGAACUAAAAUCGAUGUUCCUUUUGUUAUGGUGUUAUUUGACAAUUUUCUUUUAAUAUUAUUUUUAAAAAAGUUAUAAUGUAGGGUAAGACAUUUUGGUAAAGGUAAUAAUCAAUUCAUUUCUUGACCAGUUGAUUAUUUUCUUAUUAUUAAGAUGUAGAAUGAUCUGAAUAAGAAAAAGGACGUAGUCAAGGUCUUUUAUUUUAUUUUAUUAUUAUUUUUAAAAUUUUAGAGGAUGUUUUACUUGAACACAGUUUAACUUUUUGACUUGAUAACGUGAUCAACAUUGCAUAGAAAAUAAACUUCCUUUAUCAUCGGUCAUGAUCAAACAACGUGAUCUACAAUUCAUAUAAAAUUGAUGGGUCGUGAAAAAGAUAAGAUUUUUUUUUAAUUUUAGAGGAUGUUUUACUUAAUCAUGGAUUAACUUUUUGACUUGAUAAUGUGGUUAAUACUGCAUAUAAAAUAAAGUUCUUUUUAUCAUCGGUUAUGAUCAAACAACAUGGUUUACACUUCAUACAAAAUUGAUGUGUCAUGAAAAAAAUACAAACUAUCUUAAUUUGAUUUUAAAUAGUUAUUUAUUAUCUAUUGUGGUCAACACUAGAUAGAAAAUAAAGUUCAUUUAUCAUUGGUCAUGAUCAAACAACGUGGUUUAUACUUCAUACAAAAUUGAUGUGUCAUGAAAAAAAUAUAGACUAUCUUAAUUUGAUUUUAAAUAGUUAUUUAUUAUCUAUUGUGGUCAAUACUAGAUAGAAAAUAAAGUUCAUUUAUCAUCGGUCAUGAUCAAACAACAUGGUCUACAAUUCAAACAAAAUUGAUGGGUCAUGAAAAAGAUGCAAACUUUUAAAAAAUAAAGAUAAAUUUAGAGGAUGUUUUACUUGAACACGUAUUAACUUUUUGACUUGAUAACGUGACUAAUACUUGCAUAUAGAAUAAAGUUCUUUUAUCAUCGGUUAUGAUCAAACAACGUGGUUUACACUUCAUACAAAAUUGAUGUGUCAUGAAAAAGAUACAAACUAUCUUAAUUUGAUUUUAAAUAGUUAUUUAUUAUCUAUUUAACUUGACAAACUUUACCACGUGGUCUACACUUCAUGAAAAAUAAAUAUUCUUUAUUGUGGAUCAUGAUCGAGAAAAAAAUGGGCUGUUAUUAUUUGCUUUAAAUGGUUAUUCAUUGUCCAUGAUUAAAUCUAGGCAAAUGAAGUUAUUUCCUUGAACACGUAAUAAUCAAUUUAGAGGAUGUUUUACUUGAACACGUAAUAAUCAAUUCAUUUUUUGGCCGUUGAUUAUUUCCUUAUUUUUAAGAUGUAGAAUGAUCUGAAUAAGAAAAAGGACGUAGUCAAGGUCUUUUAUUUUAUUAUUAUUUUUAAAAUUUUAGAGGAUGUUUUACUUGAAGACGGUUUAGCUUUUUGACUUGAUAACGUGGUCAACACUGCAUAGAGAAUAAAUUUCCUUUAUCAUCGGUCAUGAUCAAACAAUGUGAUCUACAAUUCAUACAAAAUUGAUGGGUCGUGAAAAAGAUAAGAUUUUUUUUUUAUAUAACUUAUUAUUAUUAUUAUUAUUUAUCUUGUGUGGAUAACAUUUUUUAUGGACUUUAUUAUUGUUAUUAUUAUUAUUCAUAAUAAUUUUUCUUUCAUGAAUUUUUUAAAAUAUCAAUUGGAUUAGCUUUGAGUUUGAUGACUGUUUAGUAUUAAUUGGAUAGAUUUUGAGUUUCAAAUUAUUUUUGAAAACGAAUAAAUCCUAUAUUUUAAUAUUACUUGAUUUGGAAUCUAUUUGCUUGAUAAAUUUUUUUAGAUAAGUUAAAGAAAAUAAAAAAAAGAAUGUGUUAUUAAGAAAAAGAUCAUAUUUGAUGAUUUUUGGUAUGGUUGGUGAAGAGAAAAUGAAAAAAGAAAGAGAUCGUGUUUACUUUAUUUGUUUUUAUGAUUUUUUAAAUUAUUUUGAUUUCUUUAUGUUUUUCUUUUGCUUUUAAAAACAAGUGAACAAAAUUUUUAUUUGUUUUUUGGAAAUUGUUCUCUAUUUAACUUUGGUUUUAAAAAUUGUUUUCAAACAAAAAGGCCAAAUAAUGCUAUAAAUUUCUAAAUUACACCACCAAACAACCUUAUGGAUUUAAUACUAUUUUUGUAUGCUAAAUGAUCUCAGCUCUUAACUUAUUCCUAAUACCUUGAUUUACAUUUUUUGUUUCCUCCGAUUAAGAUUUUUUAGCGUUUAGAAUUAGCAUAAUUUUUUUUAAUUCAUAAAUGAAUUUUCAUGUUUAUCUUAAUCUUAUUGACCUUGAUUUAGUGCCAAGUCAUGGUCUUUCUAUCCACACCUUUUUUUAUUUUAUUUUAAUUUUUUUUCCUUUUUGUCCAAGUCAAGGUCUUCAGCACUUGGUUUUUGUGGUGAGGCAAAGACUCAAGUCAUUUUCCACUCAAUUAGAAUUUAAUAUGAUACAACUCAAAUAAUACUAAAAACAAAAAGAAGUGAGGCUAUCAUUGUCAUUGCUUUAAACCACCUUCUAUAUAUUUUGUUGAAUUGAAAAUGCAAGGGAAGCAAAGAAAGAAGUUUCAGGUAAGGAACUAAUAUUGAUAACUUAUUUUUAAUAUGCUUUUCUAUCUAAUCCUUCUAACUCUAAGUGAUUUCGGUUCUCGCUAGUCAAAGUAGGUUGAUAUUUGAGAUGAUUAUAAUUGUUUUUCUUAAUAUAUAUUUACAUAUGUUAUUAGUAGAUCUUUUUAGACUAGUGUCGUUUGUUAAAUGUGUUGUUUAAAAUAAGUUCUUCAUGUUGUGCAAUUGUCUUUUAGAUUUUGCCAAUGUUUUCCAUUUUAUGUUGGAAAUAAAAUUUUAAUUCAAUUCAAGAAAAUGCUGACUACAUAUUGGAAUUCAAUUUUUACAGGUGCUCCUUACUAGAGAAUUACAUAUUUACAUGGAGAAAAUUUCAAUUCUUGGUUUCAUUUUAGCUAUUCUCUAUUUCAUAACAGAACUUGCAUGUAAUGGUCAUACCCAUGUCGACAACAAUGUUCAAUCUAAACAAAAGGCUCUUAUUGACUUCAACAGUGGUCUCAAAGAUCCCAACAAUCGGCUUUCAUCAUGGAAAGGAAGCAAUUAUUGCUACUGGAAAGGAAUUAGUUGCGAAAAUAGCACAGGAUUUGUCAUUUCAAUUGAUCUUCAUAACCCUUAUCCUCGUGAGAAUGUAUAUGAGAAUUGGAGCUCUAUGAACUUGAGUGGAGAAAUUAGUCCUUCAUUGAUAAAACUCAAGUCUUUGAAAUAUCUAGAUUUGAGUUUCAACUCAUUCAAAGCCAUGCCAGUUCCUCAAUUCUUUGGGUCUCUGAAGAAUUUAAUAUAUCUAAACUUAUCGAGUGCUGGGUUUAGUGGAUCAAUUCCUUCAAAUUUAAGGAAUCUUUCUAGCUUGCAAUAUCUCGAUCUUUCUUCUGAGUAUCUUGACGAUAUUGAUUUUGAGUAUCUUUAUGAUAUUCAUUCUGAAUAUUUUAAUAAUUUAUUUGUUGAAAAUAUUGAAUGGAUGACUGACCUUGUUUCCUUGAAGUAUCUUGGUAUGAAUUAUGUUAACCUUUCAUUGGUAGGAAGUCGAUGGGUUGAGGUGGCAAACAAGCUUCCAAGUUUAACUGAGUUACAUCUAGGUGGUUGUAGCCUCUCUAGCUCAUUUCCAUCUCCAACCUUUGUUAAUCUUACUUCACUUGCUGUUAUAGCUAUCAACUCCAACUACUUCAAUUCCAAGUUUCCUGAAUGGCUUUUAAAUGUCAGCAACCUUGUAUCCAUUGAUAUAAGUGACAAUCAACUGCAUGGGAGAAUUCCACUUGGUCUUGGUGAGCUACCCAAUUUGCAAUACUUAGAUCUAUCUUUAAAUGUCA